UCAUCCUAGUGGGUCCUCUAGUGGAUCUGGUUGGGGGAGCCUCAUCCCCUGAAGACUGUGGAUGAUCAGCCAUAUAUCUGUCAAAAUAAAUAACAACAUUAAAUAUUAAUAAAAGACUUAUGUAAUAUCAUAUAAAUUAACAAAACAUGUAAUAGUAAUCAUAGAAUCCAAUUUCGAUCCAUAUUCCUAAAUUUGACGAAAUUACAAUUAUACAAUUUUGUAUAUAAAAUUAUAAAUUUAAUCAUACAAUCAAUUCAGUCAUACAAUCAUACAAUUAAUAAUAAUUUAAAUUAUCAAUUCAUAGCAUAUUUGACAAAAAUGAUCAAAGCCACAACAACAUAUGCAUAUUUGACAAAAAGUUCAUAGCAUAUUUGACAAAAAAAGUUCAUAGCAUAUUUGAUAAAAAAUGAUCAAACAUUGAAAUAAAAGCUAACAUACUUUGCCUCUUCAAGAACGACCGAAACCACAACAAAUUUGACAAAAAUGAUCAAAGCCACAACAACAUAUGCAUCANGAAACGAAAGCAAACAUAGAGGCUUAAUGGAAAACUUGACGAGGGCAUAAAGGAAGUACCUGGAAUGGGCACGAAAAAAUGCAGUUCACAAUCUCAGGGUAGAAAAUGACGAUUCUGAUCGGUCAAAAAUCUUCCCCAACGUAAAAAAUGGCAACCGGUUCUACACCCAACCGCGGCCUAUUCAUUUUAAAAAAAUAAUACAAAAUGGCAUUUUUGAAAUUUUUUUUAACUUAUAUGUCGCGGUUCAGCGCCCAACCGCGGCAUAUACUCUGAAAAUUUUAAAAUUACCUCAGACCAGGGCAUAGGCCGCGGUUCCCUGGACAACCGCGGCCUAUUCCCCAACGUUCAGACUCCCAUUAACUGCCUCCCAACUGCUUUUUGGGGAAUGUCAGCCCC
RNAcentral lists this long non-coding RNA (910 nucleotides) under Vigna radiata. RNAcentral's name for it is "long non-coding RNA (VRAD_LNC000647)". The record is from RNAcentral. Lineage: Eukaryota; Viridiplantae; Streptophyta; Magnoliopsida; Fabales; Fabaceae.